GUGGCAGCCGCCGCGGUAAUACCGGCGGCCCGAGUGGUGGCCACUAUUAUUGGGCCUAAAGCGUCCGGAGCCGGGCCCGUAAGUCCCUGGCGAAAUCUCACGGCUCAACCGUGGGGCUCGCUGGGGAUACUGCGGGCCUUGGGACCGGGAGAGGCGGAGGGUACCCCUGGGGUAGGGGUGAAAUCCUAUAAUCCCAGGGGGACCGCCAGUGGCGAAGGCGCUCCGCUGGAACGGGUCCGACGGUGAGGGACGAAGGCCAGGGGAGCAAACCGGAUUAGAUACCCGGGUAGUCC
RNAcentral lists this ribosomal RNA (293 nucleotides) under uncultured prokaryote. Its description in RNAcentral is "partial 16S ribosomal RNA". It matches the Rfam family "Archaeal small subunit ribosomal RNA", at positions 455 to 747 of the family's 1478-position model. The record is from RNAcentral.